CGAAUGCUGACAUAAGUAACGAUAAAGCGGGUGAAAAGCCCGCUCGCCGGAAGACCAAGGGUUCCUGUCCAACGUUAAUCGGGGCAGGGUGAGUCGACCCCUAAGGCGAGGCCGAAAGGCGUAGUCGAUGGGAAACAGGUUAAUAUUCCUGUACUUGGUGUUACUGCGAAGGGGGGACGGAGAAGGCUAUGUUGGCCGGGCGACGGUUGUCCCGGUUUAAGCGUGUAGGCUGGUUUUCCAGGCAAAUCCGGAAAAUCAAGGCUGAGGCGUGAUGACGAGGCACUACGGUGCUGAAGCAACAAAUGCCCUGCUUCCAGGAAAAGCCUCUAAGCAUCAGGUAACAUCAAAUCGUACCCCAAACCGACACAGGUGGUCAGGUAGAGAAUACCAAGGCGCUUGAGAGAACUCGGGUGAAGGAACUAGGCAAAAUGGUGCCGUAACUUCGGGAGAAGGCACGCUGAUAUGUAGGUGAAGCGACUUGCUCGUGGAGCUGAAAUCAGUCGAAGAUACCAGCUGGCUGCAACUGUUUAUUAAAAACACAGCACUGUGCAAACACGAAAGUGGACGUAUACGGUGUGACGCCUGCCCGGUGCCGGAAGGUUAAUUGAUGGGGUUAGCGGUAACGCGAAGCUCUUGAUCGAAGCCCCGGUAAACGGCGGCCGUAACUAUAACGGUCCUAAGGUAGCGAAAUUCCUUGUCGGGUAAGUUCCGACCUGCACGAAUGGCGUAAUGAUGGCCAGGCUGUCUCCACCCGAGACUCAGUGAAAUUGAACUCGCUGUGAAGAUGCAGUGUACCCGCGGCAAGACGGAAAGACCCCGUGAACCUUUACUAUAGCUUGACACUGAACAUUGAGCCUUGAUGUGUAGGAUAGGUGGGAGGCUUUGAAGUGUGGACGCCAGUCUGCAUGGAGCCGGCCUUGAAAUACCACCCUUUAAUGUUUGAUGUUCUAACGUUGGCCCCUGAUCGGGGUUGCGGACAGUGUCUGGUGGGUAGUUUGACUGGGGCGGUCUCCUCCUAAAGAGUAACGGAGGAGCACGAAGGUUGGCUAAUCCUGGUCGGACAUCAGGAGGUUAGUGCAAUGGCAUAAGCCAGCUUGACUGCGAGCGUGACGGCGCGAGCAGGUGCGAAAGCAGGUCAUAGUGAUCCGGUGGUUCUGAAUGGAAGGGCCAUCGCUCAACGGAUAAAAGGUACUCCGGGGAUAACAGGCUGAUACCGCCCAAGAGUUCAUAUCGACGGCGGUGUUUGGCACCUCGAUGUCGGCUCAUCACAUCCUGGGGCUGAAGUAGGUCCCAAGGGUAUGGCUGUUCGCCAUUUAAAGUGGUACGCGAGCUGGGUUUAGAACGUCGUGAGACAGUUCGGUCCCUAUCUGCCGUGGGCGCUGGAGAACUGAGGGGGGCUGCUCCUAGUACGAGAGGACCGGAGUGGACGCAUCACUGGUGUUCGGGUUGUCAUGCCAAUGGCA
RNAcentral lists this ribosomal RNA (1463 nucleotides) under Escherichia coli. RNAcentral describes it as "partial 23S ribosomal RNA". It matches the Rfam family "Bacterial large subunit ribosomal RNA", at positions 1291 to 2737 of the family's 2925-position model. Lineage: Bacteria; Pseudomonadati; Pseudomonadota; Gammaproteobacteria; Enterobacterales; Enterobacteriaceae. The record is from RNAcentral.